UUUUUUUUUUUGUCCUUUUAAAAGGGGGGGGUGGGCAGCCAAGAAGAAACACAACUCUUCUGAGAGAUUGUUCACUGUUCAUUUAGUUAUUAACCUUGAACAACAACAAUGUCGGGAGGGAUUGCUCGUGGUCGUCUUGCUGAGGAGCGCAAAGCUUGGAGAAAGAAUCACCCCCAUGGUUUUGUUGCUAAGCCGGAGACACUUCCAGAUGGGUCAGUGAACUUGAUGAUUUGGCACUGCACUAUCCCUGGUAAAGCUGAGAGUCUUUCGCAGCAUGGAGAAAGAAAAUACACCCCAAUCCAUUAAUAGCCUCAGAAUUCCGACUAUCUUCUUAUUUUAAUAGAGAUCCUUUUUAAAAUUGCUAUGCGAUUUUCACAAACAAACAUUUGCUUUUGGCAAUGCAUAAUGUAUUUUUCUUGUUGGUGUUGCUUCCUUUUCAAAAUUGUUGAAAAGACCUUGAGGGAUGUUGAUGAGGUGCUUUGAGUUGUUGGUGUUCCCUA
Long non-coding RNA from Solanum tuberosum (potato), 500 nucleotides. RefSeq lists it as uncharacterized. The transcript has 3 exons. NCBI's taxonomy places the organism in Eukaryota, Viridiplantae, Streptophyta, Magnoliopsida, Solanales, Solanaceae. The record is from RefSeq and is a predicted model, not a curated record.